RNAcentral lists this ribosomal RNA (253 nucleotides) under uncultured bacterium. RNAcentral's name for it is "partial 16S ribosomal RNA". It matches the Rfam family "Bacterial small subunit ribosomal RNA", at positions 524 to 776 of the family's 1533-position model. The record is from RNAcentral.
UACAGAGGGUGCAAGCGUUAAUCGGAAUUACUGGGCGGAAAGCGUGCGUAGUCGGUUAUCUAAGUCGGGUGUGAAAUCCCCGGGCUCAACCUGGGAAUUGCAUUCGAUACUGGAUAGCUAGAGUUCGGCAGAGGGAAGCGGAAUUCCCGGUGUAGCGGUGAAAUGCGUAGAUAUCGGAAGGAACAUCAGUGGCGAAAGCGGCUUCCUGGACCAGAACUGACGAUCAGGCACGAAAGCGUGGGGAGCAAACAGG